CAACUAGAAAGCCUGCACUACAGAACAUCCUUGGCAAAAUAUUCCAUGAGGAGAAAAUGAAAAACAACAAUGAAAGUCAGAAGAGGUAGGUAUUACACUAAAGGAAAAACCUACCAAAGAGAAACCAAGUCAAGAUAAAUGCAAAAAAUAGACAAAAAUAACUGGGAAUACCAAUCAUGUCUCAAUAGUAACCCUGAAUGUUAAUUUCCAAAACUCAGCAAUCAAAAGACAGACUGGCAGAUUGGAUAAAAAAAAAGACCCAACAAUAUGCUGCCUUCCAGAGAUUCAUGUCAUAGGAAAAGACAUCCACAGAGUGAAGGUGACAGGUUGGGAAAAAACAUAUCACUUGGGAGCUGGGGUUGUGGCUCAGUGGGAGUACACUAGCCAAGCAUGUGCAAGGCCCUGGGUUCGAUUCUCAGCACCACAUAAAAAUAAUAAAGGUAUUGUGUCCAACUAAAAAAUAAACAGUAAAAAAAACAUUCAUCAGGCUGGGGCUCAGGGGUAGAGCGCUCACCUAGCACGUGUCAGGCCCUGGGUUUGAUCCUCAGCACCACAUAAAAAUAAAUAAAGGUAUUGUGUCCAUCUACAACUAAAAAAUGAAUAUUAAAAAACAUACCACUCAGACUGUGGAAGCAAGCAGAGGUUUCCAUCCAAAUCAAGUAAUGUGGACUUCAAGUGAAAAUUAAUCAGAAGGGACAAACAAUAAUAUUUCAUACUCCUCAAGGGAGCCAUACACCAACAAGAGAUAACAAUUAUAAAUAUCAUCCCCUAAAGAAUGGAGCAUCUAUGUUCAUCAUACAAACUCUUCAUCAUUUCAAGAGUCAAAUAGAUCACAAUACAAUAAUUCUAGGUGACUUUAAACAUCUCUGGAUAGAUCUUCCAAACAAAAGCUUACAGAGAAAUUAUAGAACUCAAUAAGACAAUUAAUAUCUUAGAUUUAACAUAUAUAGAAUAUUUCAUCCUUCAACAAGUGAAUGCACAUUCUUCUCAGCAGCACAUGGAUCCUUCUCUAAAAUAGACCAUAUACUUUGCCAUAGGGCAACUCUUAGCAAAUAAAAAGGAGUAGAGAUACUACCCUGCAUUCUAUCAGAUCAUAAUGGAAUGAAAAUAGAAAUCAAUGAUAAGAAUAGAAGUUACUCCAAAAGAUGGAGACUAAAUAAUAUUCUACUGAAUGAACAAUGGAUUGUAGAAGACAUCAAGGAGAAGAUUUAAAAAUUCUUAGAGGUAAGUGAGAACACAGACACAACAUCAAAAUCCUGGGGACACUAUGAGAGUAGUACUAAGAGGAAAAAUUAUUGCAUGGAGUUCAUUCCUUAAGAAAAACCCAACAAAUAAAUUACCUCACACUACAUCUCAAAACCCUAGAAAACAAAGAGCAAAUCAGCAGAAAAAAGCAGAAGGCAAGAAAUUAUUAAAAUCAGAGCCGAAAUCAAUGAAAAUGAAACAAAAGAAACAAUUGAAAAAUUGACAAAACUAGAAGUUGGUUGUUUGAAAAAAUAAAUAAAAUUGACAGACCCAUAGCCAUGCAAACGAAGAGAAGGAGAGAACUCAAAUUACCAGCAUCAUAAUGAAAAAGGCAAUAUCACACAGACACUAGAGAAAUACAGAGGAUAAUUAGAAAUCAUCUUGAAACCUUGUACUCUAAUAAAAUAGAGGACAGUGAAGGCAUUGAUAAAUUCCUAAAGUCAUAUGGCCUGCCCAGAUUGAGUCAGGAAGACAUACACAACUUCAACAGACCAAUAUCAAGUGAGGAAAAAGAAGAAGCCAUCAGAAGAUUGAUAACCAAGAAAAGCCCAGGACCAGAGGGAUAUACAGCCGAAUUUUACAAGACCUAUAAAGAGGAACUAAUACCAAUACUCUUCAAUUUAAUUCAGGAAAUAGAAAAAGAGGGAGUACUUCCAAGCUCAUUCUAUGAGUCCAUAUCACCCUGAAUCCAAAACCAGACAAAGACACCUCAAAGAAGGAAACUUCAGGCCAAUAUCUGUAAUGAUCAUAGAUGCAAAAAAUCCUCAAUAAAAUUCUGGCAAAUCAAAUACAAAAACGUAUCAAAACCAUUGUGCACCACGAUCAAGUGGGAUUCAUCCCAGAGAUGCAAGGUUGGUUCAACAUACAGAAAUCAAUAAGUGUAAUUCAUCACAUCAAUAGACUUAAAGAUAAGAAUCACAUGAUCAUCUCAACAGAUGCAGAAAAAGCAUUUGACAAAAUACAGCACCCCUUCAUGUUCAAAACACUAGAAAAAAUAGGGAUAACAGGAACAUAUCAACAUCAUAAAGGCUAUCUAUGCUAAGCCCCAGGCCAACAUCAUUCUAAAUGGAGAAAAACUGAAGGUAUUCCCUCUAAAAUCUGAACAAGACAGGCAUGCCCUCUCUCACACUUCUAUUCAACAUAGUUCUUGAAACACUGGCCAGGGAAAUUAGACAGAUGAAAGAAAUUAAAGGAAUAACUAUAGGAAAAGAAGAACUUAAACUAGCACUAUUUGCUGAUGAUAUGAUUCUAUACCUAGGAGACCCAAGAAACUAUACCAGAAAAUUUCUAGAACUAGUAAGUGAAUUCAUCAAAGUAGCAGGAUAUAAAAUCAACACCAAUAAAUCAAAGGAAUUUCUGUAUAUCAGUGACAAAGCCUCUGAGAAGGAUAUG
This 2637-nucleotide long non-coding RNA is filed under the name Marmota monax (woodchuck). The record is from RNAcentral. Lineage: Eukaryota; Metazoa; Chordata; Mammalia; Rodentia; Sciuridae.